UACGUAGGGUGCAAGCGUUGUCCGGAAUUAUUGGGCGUAAAGAGCUCGUAGGCGGUUUGUCGCGUCUGCUGUGAAAACUCGGGGCUUAACCCCGGGCCUGCAGUGGGUACGGGCAGACUAGAGUGCGGUAGGGGAGACUGGAAUUCCUGGUGUAGCGGUGAAAUGCGCAGAUAUCAGGAGGAACACCGGUGGCGAAUGCGGGUCUCUGGGCCGAUACUGACGCUGAGGAGCGAAAGCGUGGGGAGCGAACAGG
This 253-nucleotide ribosomal RNA is filed under the name uncultured bacterium. RNAcentral's name for it is "partial 16S ribosomal RNA". It matches the Rfam family "Bacterial small subunit ribosomal RNA", at positions 524 to 776 of the family's 1533-position model. The record is from RNAcentral.